Molecule: long non-coding RNA, 406 nt
Organism: Polypterus senegalus (gray bichir)
Lineage: Eukaryota; Metazoa; Chordata; Cladistia; Polypteriformes; Polypteridae
Exons: 3
Source: RefSeq, a predicted model, not a curated record
GUGGUACUUUUAGCCUUUGUCUCUUUUAUACUGCCGUGCAUUCUCUGUCUCUCAUUCAGCGGCUUUCAUUAUACUGACAAAUUAAAUAAAGCGCUCCAUUGCUAAAGAGGCUUGGACAGUCAGGGAGUCACUAGUCGGCUACAGACAAGUAGAACGCAAACAUUUGCUCGGUGUGCCAGCAAGUUUGCACUUUGCGAGAGCCGAGUGGAAUGCCGGGGAUCAGGGUGGCAUGAGACGGCGUUCUUCAGCCGGCGGAUGGGAGCGGCGUGCGGGCGGGCGGGACUCUGGACGGCCCCCUCCAAGAGAGUUACAUUAGCCUGAGACCAAAGCCUGGACUGGGAGUUGUGCUGCAUUCUCCAUCAGAUAUUAAAAACAGCAGUGACCAUAGCACUGACCCCUGCUGGUC